UACGGGAGGCUGCAGUGGGGAAUAUUGCACAAUGGGGGAAACCCUGAUGCAGCGACGCCGCGUGAGCGAUGAAGUAUUUCGGGAUGUAAAGCUCUAUCAGCAGGGAAGAAAAUGACGGUACCUGACGAAGAAGCCCCGGCGAACUACGUGCAAGCAGCCGCGGUAAUACGUAGGGGGCAAGCGUUAUCAGGAUUUACUGGGUGUAAAGGGAGCGGAGACGGCGAUGCAAGCCAGAUGUGAAAGCCCGGGGCUCAACCCCGGGACUGCAUUUGGAACUGUAUAGCUGGAGUGUCGGAGAGCCAGGCGGAAUUCCUAGUGUAGCGGUGAAAUGCGUAGAUAUUAGGAGGAUCACCAGUGGCGAAGGCGGCCUGCUGGACGAUGACUGACGUUGCGGCUCGAAAGCGUGGGGAGCAAACAGGAUUAGAUACCCGGGUAGUC
Molecule: ribosomal RNA, 438 nt
Filed under: uncultured bacterium
Lineage: Bacteria
Description: partial 16S ribosomal RNA
Rfam family: Bacterial small subunit ribosomal RNA
Source: RNAcentral